GGCCGCUGUUGCCACCUGCUGCCGGAGCGGGGACCGGGCCGGGCAGGCGGCGAGAGCCCCGCCGUGGGCGAGGGGCCCCGACCGCCCCGCCCGCGGAGGAGCGCGGAGCGGGCAGGAGCGAGGGAGGAGAAGCGGAGCGGCGGCUCAGAUGCCAAACUAGCUGCAGUGGAGUGAAAAUACUGCUGUAGAAGCCCUGACGAUAAGGGACUGAUGUCUGUGUCUCAAACGUGAACAGCCAGAUCGCUGUGCUGCCAACCAAGGAUCCUUGGUAAUGCUGGGAGAAGUAACAGGAUGUGGCUGGAGAAGGGGGCCUUACAGGGGCAGGGCAGCAGUUUUCUGGGACAGAAAUCCUUGUUCUAGGUCCUGGAGAUAAGUACAGCGUGGUACAGUGCACGUGCAGGAAUGAGGUGGAGAAAAAGGAUUACUGACCAAAAACCAACCCAGCAGAGGAGGAUCAAGACACCAGAGACCCCCCCCCCGAAGCUCUCCAACCCAUUUCCAGAAAGGUCUAGAGGAAUGAACUGUGCAUGAUAACUGAUUUGCAUAGAAAGCAAGAACCUUAUCUAUAAAUAAGUACCCCUGUGAAGCUCAGGUACACAUGUGCCAGGGCUCUGGACAUCCCAUUAGAUGGAUCAAUACUGGACCAAGGAGUGGUGAUCUUUGUCCCUCCCUCUCUUCAGUUUCUCUCACUCUACCUCUUUAUUCAGAACCCACCACUGUGUGCUUAUACUGGAAAAUAAGGGAAUAGCAUAUCAAUUUCCAUGACAAGUGAAUAAUUUGCUAAUAAAAUUCUGUAAGCUUUUACAGAC
Haemorhous mexicanus (house finch) is the source of this 809-nucleotide long non-coding RNA. RefSeq lists it as uncharacterized. Lineage: Eukaryota; Metazoa; Chordata; Aves; Passeriformes; Fringillidae. The record is from RefSeq and is a predicted model, not a curated record. The transcript has 2 exons.